UACGGGGGGAGCAAGCGUUGUUCGGAUUUACUGGGCGUAAAGGGCGCGUAGGCGGCCAGCACAAGUCAGUUGUGAAAUCUCCGAGCUUAACUCGGAAAGGUCAACUGAUACUGUGCGGCUAGAGUGCGAAAGGGGCAACUGGAAUUCUUGGUGUAGCGGUGAAAUGCGUAGAUAUCAAGAGGAACACCUGCGGCGAAGGCGGGUUGCUGGGCCGACACUGACGCUGAUGCGCGAAAGCUAGGGGAGCGAACGGG
This 254-nucleotide ribosomal RNA is filed under the name uncultured bacterium. RNAcentral's name for it is "partial 16S ribosomal RNA". It matches the Rfam family "Bacterial small subunit ribosomal RNA", at positions 524 to 776 of the family's 1533-position model. The record is from RNAcentral.